AGCUCCAGUAGCGUAUAUUAAAGUUGUUGCAGUUAAAAAGCUCGUAGUUGGAUUUCUGGUGAACCAAGAUGGCCCGGUGUCUUAAUGACUACUGAGUGCCGUUUUUUUGGUUUACCAUCCUUCCAGAGAGUUGUGCCUACCGCUAGUCGGCCGGGUGCUGCGAUCUGGAUCAUUUACUUUGAAAAAAUUAGAGUGUUUCAAGCAGGCUUACGCUUUGAAUACAUUAGCAUGGAAUAAUAAUAUAGGACUUUGGUUCUAUUUUGUUGGUUUCUAGGACUGAAGUAAUGAUUGAUAGGGAUAGUUGGGGGUGCUAGUAUUCAGCGGCCAGAGGUGAAAUUCUUGGAUUCGCUGAAGACUAACUACUGCGAAAGCAUUCACCAAGGAUGUCUUCUUUAAUCAA
This 400-nucleotide ribosomal RNA is filed under the name phytoplankton environmental sample. RNAcentral describes it as "partial small subunit ribosomal RNA". It matches the Rfam family "Eukaryotic small subunit ribosomal RNA", at positions 587 to 980 of the family's 1831-position model. The record is from RNAcentral.